GAUGAACGCUGGCGGCGUGCUUAACACAUGCAAGUCGAACGGAAAGGCCGAAGCUUGCCUCGGUACUCGAGUGGCGAACGGGUGAGUAACACGUGGGUGAUCUGCCCUGUACUUCGGGAUAGGCUUGGGAAACUGGGUCUAAUACCGGAUAUGACGAUCUCUUGGAUGGGGUUGUGGAAAGCUUUUGCGGUAUGGGAUGAGCUCGCGGCCUAUCAGCUUGUUGGUGGGGUAAUGGCCUACCAAGGCGUCGACGGGUAGCCGGCCUGAGAGGGUGUACGGCCACAUUGGGACUGAGAUACGGCCCAGACUCCUACGGGAGGCAGCAGUGGGGAAUAUUGCACAAUGGGCGCAAGCCUGAUGCAGCGACGCCGCGUGGGGGAUGACGGCCUUCGGGUUGUAAACUCCUUUCGCAAUCGACGAAGCCUUUUGGUGACGGUAGGUUGAGAAGAAGCACCGGCUAACUACGUG
RNAcentral lists this ribosomal RNA (468 nucleotides) under uncultured bacterium. RNAcentral describes it as "partial 16S ribosomal RNA". It matches the Rfam family "Bacterial small subunit ribosomal RNA", at positions 28 to 507 of the family's 1533-position model. The record is from RNAcentral.